AUUGAACGCUGGCGGCAGGCUUAACACAUGCAAGUCGAGCGCCCCGCAAGGGGAGCGGCAGACGGGUGAGUAACGCGUGGGAAUCUACCUAGCUCUACGGAAUAGCUCCGGGAAACUGGAAUUAAUACCGUAUACGUCCUUCGGGACAAAGAUUUAUCGGAGUUGUAUGAGCCCGCGUGGGAUUAGCUAGUUGGUGGGGUAAUGGCCUACCAAGGCGACGAUCCAUAGCUGGUCUGAGAGGAUGGUCAGCCACACUGGCACGGAGACACGGCCCAGACUCCUACGGGAGGCAGCAAUGGGGAAUAUUGGACAAUGGGCGAAAGCCUGAUCCAGCCAUGCCGCGUAAGUGAUGAAGGCCCUAGGGUUGUAAAGCUCUUUCAACGGUGAAGAUAAUGACGGUAACCGUAGAAGAAGCCCCGGCUAACUUCGUGCCAGCCGCCGCUGUAA
RNAcentral lists this ribosomal RNA (447 nucleotides) under uncultured bacterium. RNAcentral's name for it is "partial 16S ribosomal RNA". It matches the Rfam family "Bacterial small subunit ribosomal RNA", at positions 30 to 523 of the family's 1533-position model. The record is from RNAcentral.